RNAcentral lists this ribosomal RNA (655 nucleotides) under uncultured bacterium. RNAcentral describes it as "bacterial SSU rRNA". It matches the Rfam family "Bacterial small subunit ribosomal RNA", at positions 118 to 790 of the family's 1533-position model. The record is from RNAcentral.
UGGGUAACCUGCCUUGUACAGGGGGAUAACAGUCAGAAAUGACUGCUAAUACCGCAUAAGCGCACAGGACCGCAUGGUCCGGUGUGAAAAACUCCGGUGGUAUAAGAUGGACCCGCGUUGGAUUAGCCAGUUGGUGAGGUAACGGCCCACCAAGGCGACGAUCCAUAGCCGGCCUGAGAGGGUGAACGGCCACAUUGGGACUGAGACACGGCCCAGACUCCUACGGGAGGCAGCAGUGGGGAAUAUUGCACAAUGGGGGAAACCCUGAUGCAGCGACGCCGCGUGAAGGAAGAAGUAUCUCGGUAUGUAAACUUCUAUCAGCAGGGAAGAAAAUGACGGUACCUGACUAAGAAGCCCCGGCUAACUACGUGCCAGCAGCCGCGGUAAUACGUAGGGGGCAAGCGUUAUCCGGAUUUACUGGGUGUAAAGGGAGCGUAGACGGAUGGACAAGUCUGAUGUGAAAGGCUGGGGCUCAACCCCGGGACUGCAUUGGAAACUGCCCGUCUUGAGUGCCGGAGAGGUAAGCGGAAUUCCUAGUGUAGCGGUGAAAUGCGUAGAUAUUAGGAGGAACACCAGUGGCGAAGGCGGCUUACUGGACGGUAACUGACGUUGAGGCUCGAAAGCGUGGGGGAGCAAACAGGAUUAGAUACCCUGG